This 483-nucleotide long non-coding RNA is filed under the name Sorghum bicolor (sorghum). RNAcentral describes it as "long non-coding RNA (SBIC_LNC005661)". The record is from RNAcentral. Lineage: Eukaryota; Viridiplantae; Streptophyta; Magnoliopsida; Poales; Poaceae.
GUGAAGCUCCCUGAGGUGCUGCUUGAAUUUUCUGCAGCAGAUGUACGAGGAGUUAACAUCUGGUUGACCUUUUUUUUGCUAAUCGGGCUAUAUCUAUAGAGGCAGAGUAUUAUCCAGUCUAGGCUCAAUGUUCGGCUAACAAAAGAAACCCUAUCCCUGCCAUCCAUCGUGCUCUUCCCCAAUCCAUUGGCCAUCGGCAUCUAUCGGCGGUGGCAAGCCGCAGUCUGCAGGGGCUCCAGGCAAGCAGGUGAUUUGUUUUAUGUGAAACUAAGUUUGUGAUGGGAUGAUUGAAUGUUUGAUUGUCUGAUUGUCAUGAACUCAUGAUAGAUUGUAAUUUUUAGAUUUUUAGUAUGUUGAAAACAACUUUGUGCAACUAUUUUUCAAGUUCAAGUAGCUCAACCCCACAUACUAAUGAGAGCACAAGUCUUCAGAUGAAUAAUGUGUGCAAACGUCACACACCAUCUAUUAGUUUCCUAAUUUGGC